RNAcentral lists this ribosomal RNA (253 nucleotides) under uncultured bacterium. RNAcentral describes it as "partial 16S ribosomal RNA". It matches the Rfam family "Bacterial small subunit ribosomal RNA", at positions 524 to 776 of the family's 1533-position model. The record is from RNAcentral.
UACGUAGGGCGCAAGCGUUGUUCGGAAUUACUGGGCGUAAAGCGUGCGUAGGCGGCUUGUCACGUCGGAUGUGAAAGCCCGGGGCUUAACUCCGGGUCUGCAUUCGAUACGGGCUGGCUAGAGUGUGGUAGGGGAGAUCGGAAUUCCUGGUGUAGCGGUGAAAUGCGCAGAUAUCAGGAGGAACACCGGUGGCGAAGGCGGAUCUCUGGGCCAUUACUGACGCUGAGGAGCGAAAGCGUGGGGAGCGAACAGG